AUGCUGAUGCCAGGACCUUGUCCUGCCAGGAAGCCUCUGAUUAGGGCUGUGAACCAACUUCCUUUUCACAUCUGCAAGGACACUUGGAGGCAACUGCCCAAGGCCACUCUGAGGAGGGUUGAAUGUUCUUUAUUAAAAGGACUGAGGAUCAUGUGUGUUGGUGGGCCUUGGACUCUGCUCUAAGGUCAAAUUUUGCAGUUUCUGCUGUCAUCACAGCUGGGAAUGAGAAAGGGAAGGGGCUCCAGUUGGUCUCCCUCUGCCUCUGGAGCACACGUGGAGGACAUGAGGCUUCCGCAGGAACAGCUCUGAAAGCUGAGUUCUCGGGUCCCUGUGAAGGAGGGAAGCUUGCCUGCCUUGGAGCGUGAAAAAGUCUUGCUGGACAGAAGUCUCACGGUUUAAAACUGGGAAGGGAGAGGAUUGAGAUCACACUAGAAUGCACAGAAAAUUCUUAAAACAAAAAAAUGAGAGAAACUUCAUCAGAAUGUGAAAAGAACUAUAAAGCUACAGUGCUGAAGAGAGGGCAAUACUGGCACUAGAAUGAGAAGAUUCAUGGAACACAGUGGAAAAUGCAGUAAGAGAGCUGCAUGCACAUGGAGGCAACCACUCAAGGCCACUCUGAGAAGGGUUGAACGUGCUUUAAAUUAAAAGGACUGAGGAUCAUGUGUGUUGGUGUGUCUUGGACUCUGCUCUAAGGAUUUCUGACUGGCUGCAAUGGGAACAACACAAAAUUUAAUGAGGUUAAGAGCUCAGGCCUCCAGCUGAGGGACUGCAGAUGUUGGGCUCAUGGAGGCAACCACUCAAGGUCACUCUGAGAAGGGUUGAACGUGCUUUAUUAAAAGGACUGAGGAUCAUGUGUGUUGGUGUGUCCCGGAGUCUGCUCUAAGGAUCAUACUUCCCUGGGCUGAUUCCUGAUUCCAACACAACGCUGGAGGUGUAGGAGUCAUAGUACAGAAGACGCUGUGGGGCCUUCCCCUCCUGGUGUAGGUACCAGGCUGCACGGGGGCUUGGAUCAAUGCCUGAAUCCAGUGUUCCUGAGUGCAGAGCAUCUUUGCUCUGGGUGAGCUUUGACCAUCCUGGAGAAGAAGGCUGCUGCGGGGGUGGGACAAAGCCAAGACCAAUGCCCAGCGGCCAAGGCCAGCCAGAUGGCUCUGUGCUGGCAGCCAGUGUACACGGAUUUUACCUGAAGGAAAAUGUCACAUUUUCCACAGACAACUGAAGAAAGAGAGCUCUUUGGAUUACCCUAAUUGUGAUUUACUCAUUGGAACCACUGUUUUGGAUUGUCCAAAAUUAAGUCUCAAAGCUUAAAUAUGAGGCUUCAGGGAGUUAUCCUGAAAUCAGUGCUUGGUAUCUUCUUGUUUUUUGCUUGUUUUUUAAAACCUUAAUUCUCAUAUUUUUCUGUCAUAUUUCUCAGUGCCUGGUACAUUAUCACCAUUAAUCCAUGCCAGUUAUGUACAGUUUUGCAUGUUUGUUUUUUAUUUUACUCUUUUCUCUCCUUCAUUCCCUAUUCCUGUUCCCCCAUAGGUGCCCAGUCUAAUGUAUUUGAUAUCUGUCCUUAGAGCCUCCGUAUCUGUGAAGACUAGAGUCAUGCACUUCAUCACAUUUCAGUAACGAUGGGCCGCAUGUACCACAGUCCCAUGAGAUGAUAGAGGUGCAGAAAAAUUCCUGUCAUCUAGUGACAUCGUAGCCAUCAUAACAUCACAACACGACUCUCAUUUGUGGUGACCCUGGUGUACACAAACCUACUGUACUGCCAGUUGUAUAAAAGUCUAGCACAUCCAGCUACGCACAGUACAUACUUGAAAAUUAUAAUAAAUGACCAUGUUACUGGUUUAUGUAAUUACUAUAUUAUACUUUUUAAUCAUUAUUUUAGAGUGUACAACUUCUACUUGUAAAAAAAAAAAAAGUUAACUGUAAAACAGCCUCAGGCAGGCCCUUCAGUAGGAAUUCCAGAAGAAGGCACUGUUGUCCUAGGAGAUGACAGCUCCAUGUGUGUUACUGCCCUGAUGACCCUCCGUGGGUACAAGAUGUGGAGCUGGACUACAGUGAUAUUGAAGAUCUCGACCCUGUAGGCCUAGGCUAAUGUGUGGCUGUGUCUUGAUUUUUAGCAAAAAUGUUUUAAAAGUGAAAAUGUUAAAAAUAGAAAACAGUUUAUAGAAUAAGGAUAUAAAGAAAAUAUUUUGUACAGCUGUAUAAUUUUUUUUUGUUUUUCUUUUCCUUUUUCUUUUUUUUUUUUGAGACGGAGUCUUGCUCUGUCGCCCAGCUGGAGUGCAGUGGUGUGAUCUCGGCUCACUGCAACCUCUGCCUCCUGGGGUCAAGCGACUCUUCUGCCUCAGCCUCCUGAGUGGCUGGGACUACCGGCAAGUGCCACCAUGCCUGGCUAAUUUUUGUAUUUUUUGUGGAGAUUUUCACCAUCUUGGCCAGGCUGGUCUUGAACUCCUGACCUGGUGAUCCACCCGCCUUGGCCUCCCAAAGUGGUGGGGUUACAGGCGUGAACUACAGGGCCUGGCCUGUUUGUGUUUUAAGCUAAGUGUUGUUAGGAGUCAAAAAGUUAAAAAAUAAAAGUUGCUAAAGUAAAAAAGUUACAGUCAGCAAAAGCUAAUUUAUUAAUGAAGAAAGAAAUGUAUGUUUUGAUCAAUUUAGUGUAGCCUAAGUGUCCAGUGUUUAUAGUCUACAGGAGUGUACAGGAACGUCCUAGGUCUUCACAUCCUCUCACCACUCACUCAUUGACUCACUCACCCAGAGUAGCUUCCAGACCUGCAAGCUCCAUUCAUGGUAACUCCCCUAUACAGGUGUUACAGUACUUAAAAUUUUAUAUCCUAUUUUUACUGUAGGUUGUCUCUGUCUAGAUAUAUUUGGAUACACACAUACUUACCAAUGUGUUACAGUUGCCUGCAGCACUCAGUACAGUAACAUGCUGCACAGCUUUGUAACCUAGAAACAACAGGCUACACCUAUAGCCUCUGUGUAGUAGGCUGUGCCAUCUGGGUUUGUGUUCUACAACGUUGCAUUCUACAAUGUUCACACAAGGAUGAAAUCGCCUAAGGACACAUUUCUCAGAAUGCUUCCUCAUUGUCAAGCAAUGCAUGACUGUAUAUAGAAUUGUUCAUAAAUACUGUGUUUUUCAUCCAUGUAAAUGGCAUGCCAUUUCUACCUAUCCACGUCUGCACACCAGCUCAUGCCCCUCAUUCAUGCUCCUUUCUGCUGCUCACCGCUCCACAGCUGGCAGCCCCUGCAUUCCAUCCAUCCAUUCCCCCAAACAUGGGCAUGUUGCUAUCAGCAGGGAGCUGUGAUGGACCCCUCACAGGGUCCUCUUAUUCCUCGUGCAAGCCUUUCCCUGGGAAGUUCCUCCCAGCAUUGCUGGUCAGGGGGAACACACACUCACAUCUUCACUAAAUGCUACCAGUGCUAUGGUGUUAUCAGAAACUUUAUUUAUUUAUUUUUUGCCAAUAUGAUAGCUAUCAAGCUACCCCAUCUCUACUAAAAAUACAAAAUUAGGCCUUUAGUAGAAACCCUGUCUCUAGUAAAAAUACAAAAAUUAGCUGGGCAUGGUGGCACACACCUGUAAUACCAGCUACUUGGUGGCUGAGGCAGGAGAAUUGCUUGAACCCAGGAGGCAGAAGCUGCAGUGAGCCAAGAUCGCACCACUGCACUCUAGCCUGGGCAACAGAGAACCUGUCUUAAAAACAAAAACAAAAAAAAUGGCACAGGUCUGAUUAUUAGGAAGCUGAGGUUCUUUUUUAUACUUAGUAUUCACUGAAGUGUGAAUUACCUUUCAUGUCCUCUAAACAUACCAACAAGGAGGCUGGAGUUAGGACUUAUGUUAGAGCCAGCCUGCCUGGGGCACAGCCUGGCCCUGCCAUUUAUUGACUGUGUGACUUUGAGAAAGCUUCCUCAUGUAACUCUAUCUUAGCUUCCCUGCCUGUAAUAAGUAAAAACAGCAACUACCUCAUAGAUUUGUAAAGAUUACAUAAAAUAAUACAUGCAAUGCAUGGCAAACGACAGUCAACGAAUGUUAUUAUUAUAUUAACUAUUGCCAUAUUAUAAAUAUAAAUAAAUAUAAAUGAUAUAAACA
Molecule: long non-coding RNA, 4072 nt
Filed under: Homo sapiens (human)
Lineage: Eukaryota; Metazoa; Chordata; Mammalia; Primates; Hominidae
Description: long non-coding RNA NONHSAT211961.1
Source: RNAcentral